RNAcentral lists this ribosomal RNA (644 nucleotides) under Salmonella enterica subsp. enterica serovar Dublin. RNAcentral's name for it is "partial 23S ribosomal RNA". It matches the Rfam family "Bacterial large subunit ribosomal RNA", at positions 568 to 1190 of the family's 2925-position model. Lineage: Bacteria; Pseudomonadati; Pseudomonadota; Gammaproteobacteria; Enterobacterales; Enterobacteriaceae. The record is from RNAcentral.
GAAAGCGACGUUCAACCGCAAAAGAAGCAGAGGGGGCUUAGUGGUGGGGUGACUGCGUACCUUUUGUAUAAUGGGUCAGCGACUUAUAUUCUGUAGCAAGGUUAACCGAAUAGGGGAGCCGGAGGGAAACCGAGUCUUAACCGGGCGUUAAGUUGCAGGGUAUAGACCCGAAACCCGGUGAUCUAGCCAUGGGCAGGUUGAAGGUUGGGUAACACUAACUGGAGGACCGAACCGACUAAUGUUGAAAAAUUAGCGGAUGACCUGUGGCUGGGGGUGAAAGGCCAAUCAAACCGGGAGAUAGCUGGUUCUCCCCGAAAGCUAUUUAGGUAGCGCCUCGUGAAUUCAUCUCCGGGGGUAGAGCACUGUUUCGGCUAGGGGGCCAUCCCGGCUUACCAACCCGAUGCAAACUGCGAAUACCGGAGAAUGUUAUCACGGGAGACACACGGCGGGUGCUAACGUCCGUCGUGAAGAGGGAAACAACCCAGACCGCCAGCUAAGGUCCCAAAGUCAUGGUUAAGUGGGAAACGAUGUGGGAAGGCCCAGACAGCCAGGAUGUUGGCUUAGAAGCAGCCAUCAUUUAAAGAAAGCGUAAUAGCUCACUGGUCGAGUCGGCCUGCGCGGAAGAUGUAACGGGGCUAAACCAU